RNAcentral lists this ribosomal RNA (305 nucleotides) under uncultured bacterium. Its description in RNAcentral is "partial 16S ribosomal RNA". It matches the Rfam family "Bacterial small subunit ribosomal RNA", at positions 506 to 807 of the family's 1533-position model. The record is from RNAcentral.
ACAGCAGUAGCCGCGGGAAAACGUAGGUGGCAAGCGUUGUCCGGAAUUAUUGGGCGUAAAGGGCUCGCAAGCGGUUUCUUAAGUCUGAUGUGAAAGCCCCCGGCUCAACCGGGGAGGGUCAUUGGAAACUGGGAAACUUGAGUGCAGAAGAGGAGAGUGGAAUUCCACGUGUAGCGGUGAAAUGCGUAGAGAUGUGGAGGAACACCAGUGGCGAAGGCGACUCUCUGGUCUGUAACUGACGCUGAGGAGCGAAAGCGUGGGGAGCGAACAGGAUUAGAUACCCCCGUAGUCCCUGUCUCUUAUAC